GGAGGGUGCAAGCGUUAAUCGGAAUUAUUGGGCGUAAAGCGCGCGUAGGCGGUUGAUUAAGUUGGAUGUGAAAUCCCUAGGCUUAACCUGGGAACUGCAUUCAAAACUGGUCGACUAGAGUACAGCAGAGGUGAGUAGAAUUUCCGGUGUAGCGGUGAAAUGCGUAGAUAUCGGAAGGAAUACCAGUGGCGAAGGCGGCUCACUGGGUUGAUACUGACGCUGAGGCGCGAAAGCGUGGGGAGCAAACAGGGAUUAGAGACCCUGGUAGUCCACGCCGUAAACGAUGAGAACUAGCUGUUGGGACGCGUUGACGUCUUAGUAGCGUAGCUAACGCGAUAAGUUCUCCGCCUGGGAAGUACGGUCGCAAGAUUA
Molecule: ribosomal RNA, 372 nt
Filed under: uncultured organism
Description: partial 16S ribosomal RNA
Rfam family: Bacterial small subunit ribosomal RNA
Source: RNAcentral